GAUGAACGCUGGCGGCGUGCCUAAUACAUGCAAGUCGAGCGAACAGACGAGGAGCUUGCUCCUCUGACGUUAGCGGCGGACGGGUGAGUAACACGUGGAUAACCUACCUAUAAGACUGGGAUAACUUCGGGAAACCGGAGCUAAUACCGGAUAAUAUAUUGAACCGCAUGGUUCAAUAGUGAAAGACGGUUUUGCUGUCACUUAUAGAUGGAUCCGCGCCGCAUUAGCUAGUUGGUAAGGUAACGGCUUACCAAGGCAACGAUGCGUAGCCGACCUGAGAGGGUGAACGCCCACACGGGAACUGAGACACGGUCCAGACUCCUACGGGAGGCAGCAGUAGGGAAUCUUCCGCAAUGGGCGAAAGCCUGACGGAGCAACGCCGCGUGAGUGAUGAAGGUCUUCGGAUCGUAAAACUCUGUUAUUAGGGAAGAACAAAUGUGUAAGUAACUAUGCACGUCUUGACGGUACCUAAUCAGAAAGCCACGGCUAACUACGUG
Molecule: ribosomal RNA, 497 nt
Filed under: uncultured bacterium
Lineage: Bacteria
Description: partial 16S ribosomal RNA
Rfam family: Bacterial small subunit ribosomal RNA
Source: RNAcentral